This 498-nucleotide ribosomal RNA is filed under the name uncultured archaeon. RNAcentral's name for it is "bacterial SSU rRNA". It matches the Rfam family "Archaeal small subunit ribosomal RNA", at positions 382 to 879 of the family's 1478-position model. The record is from RNAcentral.
CAAGUGCGAGGGCAUAUAGUCCUCGCUUUUGUGUAUCGUAAGGUGGUACACGAAUAAGAGCUGGGCAAGACCGGUGCCAGCCGCCGCGGUAAUACCGGCAGCUCAAGUGAUGGCCAAUAUUAUUGGGCCUAAAGCGUCCGUAGCCGGCCGAACAGGUCCGUCGGGAAAUCUGCUCGCUCAACGAGCAGGCGUCCGACGGAAACCAGUCGGCUUGGGACCGGAAGACCCGAGGGGUACGUCUAGGGUAGGAGUGAAAUCCUGUAAUCCUAGACGGACCGCCGGUGGCGAAAGCGCCUCGGGAGAACGGAUCCGACGGUGAGGGACGAAAGCUAGGGUCACGAACCGGAUUAGAUACCCGGGUAGUCCUAGCUGUAAACGAUGCUCGCUAGGUGUGGCACAGGCUACGAGCCUGUGUUGUGCCGUAGGGAAGCCGAGAAGCGAGCCGCCUGGGAAGUACGUCCGCAAGGAUGAAACUUAAAGGAAUUGGCGGGGGAGCAC